UACGUAGGGUGCAAGCGUUGUCCGGAAUUAUUGGGCGUAAAGGGUGCGUAGGCGGCGCGGUAAGUCGGGUGUGAAAUCUCGGAGCUCAACUCCGAAACUGCAUUCGAUACUGCCGUGCUUGAGGACUGGAGAGGAGACUGGAAUUUACGGUGUAGCGGUGAAAUGCGUAGAUAUCGUAAGGAAGACCAGUGGCGAAGGCGGGUCUCUGGACAGUUCCUGACGCUGAGGCACGAAGGUCAGGGGAGCAAACGGG
RNAcentral lists this ribosomal RNA (253 nucleotides) under uncultured bacterium. Its description in RNAcentral is "partial 16S ribosomal RNA". It matches the Rfam family "Bacterial small subunit ribosomal RNA", at positions 524 to 776 of the family's 1533-position model. The record is from RNAcentral.